GGGGACGUGCACUUGACUGAAAUAUGAUGAGAUAGACGGUGUGUGUGUGGGGGGGGGAGCAAAAACUAAAGACAGCGAAUUCGCCUGCUCAAGGACUGUCAUAACUCAUAGUCAUUCUCAGAAGACCGUGUCGGACAUUCAUUUCUCAACUACAGUGUAAAGAACAGUUGGGAGAAGUUUAGAAAAGGGUGUGUGAGUGAGAUGGAGAGAUACAGAUCAGAGUAAUUCUACUUCCUUAGUGUGAUCCUAAUCUAAAAUAAUAUCAUCGUUAUAAAUCAUCUUUGUUUUAAAAUCAUCACAUUAUUAAUUUUUUUUUUUUUAUGCGUGGAUCUAAGCUAUAAGACUUGCCAAUAUAAUCAGCACUGGUGGAGUGAUUGCUGGAUUGUUUUGAAUAUGACUGAGAGGGAGAAUAUGUUGCUGCUCUGCUUUAGUCCAAGUGCAACACACUGGUCUGCGGUUUGAAACCUCCUCCAGCUAAGCAAGACAGUGUAAACAAUGGAGAAAGACGAAGAGACAGAAGAAAAAAAAACAAAGACAAAGACUCCAUCCUGACAUCUUACCCUUUGGCAAAGUUAUAAAAAGGGCCAUUUUUGUUCAAAAAAAGGAGGUGGUUUUAUGGAAUUUUUAUAUUUGGUGCGCAUUUAAAAGCUCGUUUAGCGUGGUAUGAGUUUAUGGGCUUUCAAGGCAUGGUUCAGAGGAAGAGUUUUCUCUUUCUCUGCCGCUCCUGGAGGUCAUAAAACUCUCUAGAACUCCCAACUAUAAACAUUCACACAGGUAGAUCAAGAAAGUCUAAACCGAAUAAACAGCGAUGUGUGGUAAUCACACACACAUGGGCAGGUUGAGCUGUGGGAAUGCAGCUCUUAAAAGCGGUAGGAUUUGGGGAGUCCUUGUAAAACCUGAUCUCACACACACAGAUAACGAGGAGGAAUUUAGGACACAUCACUCCACGAAUUUCCCAACCAUUUCCUUGGACAGGUGACCUCUGUCAGAGGUGAACUAAAAACGGCCCGAGGGAAAGGAUGCAGAGACCAGCUCAUCACCACAAAACAACAGCUCAACUAAUGCCAGACCUCAGGAUGCACGUGUAGAGCAUGUGCCAUGUGACCUUGCACAGGUCAGCAACAUAGCCUUAAGGUGGCGCCCUUUGUACUUUGACCUUUUAAAGCCAUAAAGAUUUGACAUUAGAGUGUUUGUUUACCUAAUCAGGUCACUGAACAUUCUUGUGGUUGUCAAGACCUCUCAAUGGACUCACUUGGAUCCUGAGUUCAUUUCCUUUUCUGUUUUUUUCCUAAACGGAAAACAAAAUUGAGAUGAAUGCAUUUUCACUUACUGCUCCUUAUGUUUGUCUUUCUAUUUUAGCUCCAUGCUGACAGCAUCAAAGAUGUUACUGUCCAUAUGAUAUCAGCAGAUGGGUUUUUCAUCGCUACCAUGCCAGACAUCAUUACCCCUUAACAACUCUUAUUAAAAAUGAACUGACCUGUCUACAUGUGUGAAUUCAGGCUGAAUCAGGUUUUAAUGUUUAAGUUUCAGCUGAAAGCAACUGACUGGUAAUUAAACAUACACAGGAAAACAUUAAAAUGAAGAGAUAAAAACUUCAUAGCUAGUCAGUAUUUUUUUUAAACCGAGGACAGUGUGAAGUGCACAGAAAUGCCAAACAACCACACACAAAUUUUCUGAGCAUAAAGAGAGUGCUGGGUCUUUACAUAGGGGUGGUGGGAUAAUAGGGAGAAUCCCUAACAAAGGCCAUUUUGACAGAGCGAGCUUUGUCUGCGUCAGCCCACAAAUUCAUCCACUCCAAAUGAACUCUGCAAAAAUAAUGGGACUUUAAAUAGUGCUGGCCCUUGAAAAACAAAGCUGUUCAGCCCAUGAUGCUGACCUUUUGUUAUUUAUCCCAAAUCACUUUAAUCCCACCCCAGUAACAAAAAUAAAGUUUGUAAUGUGCCAAAAAUAUCA
This is a long non-coding RNA of Cyprinus carpio (common carp), 1953 nucleotides long. The record is from Ensembl. NCBI's taxonomy places the organism in Eukaryota, Metazoa, Chordata, Actinopteri, Cypriniformes, Cyprinidae.